GGCACCCUACGGGACGCAGCAGUGAGGAAUAUUGGUCAAUGGGCGCGAGCCUGAACCAGCCAAGUCGCGUGAGGGAAGACGGUCCUAUGGAUUGUAAACUUCUUUUGUCGGGGAACAAAGGCGGAGACGCGUCUCCGGAUGAGUGUACCCGAAGAAAAAGCAUCGGCUAACUCCGUGCCAGCAGCCGCGGUAAUACGGAGGAUGCGAGCGUUAUCCGGAUUUAUUGGGUUUAAAGGGUGCGCAGGCGGGAGAUCAAGUCAGCGGUAAAAUGUCGGGGCUCAACCCCGGCCGGCCGUUGCAACUGG
RNAcentral lists this ribosomal RNA (305 nucleotides) under uncultured bacterium. RNAcentral describes it as "bacterial SSU rRNA". It matches the Rfam family "Bacterial small subunit ribosomal RNA", at positions 333 to 636 of the family's 1533-position model. The record is from RNAcentral.